This is an RNA transcript of Drosophila albomicans, 2404 nucleotides long. It is a transcript of the gene named calcium/calmodulin-dependent protein kinase type II alpha chain, with no coding region annotated. The record is from RefSeq and is a predicted model, not a curated record. NCBI's taxonomy places the organism in Eukaryota, Metazoa, Arthropoda, Insecta, Diptera, Drosophilidae. The transcript has 16 exons.
CAGUAUUGAAUUCGCUUUCCUAACAAACGGACGUUCUGCAAUACAAGAGUUAAUAGUACGGAUACAUUUGUCGCGUGUGGUCUGCUCUCGUAUAAUAAGUUCUUCAUGCACAUACAACCAAUAGUGUAACGCAAAUUUUAUGUAGAUAUAGCCGUCGUAAUUUAAUGUGGAUAUUCAGAAAACGGAGUCUUGCAAUUGGAACAGAAUAAAAAAUAAAGUUCAACAACAAAUUCCAAGUUACCGACAAUCAAGUCGUUUAAGCGCAAUUUAUAAGCAACACACACAAUAGAUUUUCUCAAGUGUGCCAUCGCGAUGGCUGCUCCAGCAGCCUGUACGCGUUUCUCCGAUAACUAUGAUAUAAAGGAAGAACUUGGAAAAGGCGCCUUUUCGAUAGUUAAACGAUGUGUCCAAAAGUCGACAGGAUUUGAGUUUGCUGCAAAGAUUAUCAAUACUAAGAAACUUACAGCAAGAGAUUUUCAGAAAUUGGAAAGGGAGGCUCGCAUAUGCCGUAAAUUGCACCAUCCUAACAUUGUUCGAUUACAUGACAGUAUACAGGAGGAGAACUAUCAUUAUCUCGUUUUUGAUCUUGUAACUGGUGGUGAGCUAUUCGAAGAUAUUGUUGCACGUGAAUUUUAUUCAGAGGCUGAUGCAUCACAUUGUAUUCAACAAAUAUUGGAAUCGGUUAAUCACUGCCACCAGAAUGGUGUGGUGCAUCGAGAUCUCAAGCCAGAGAAUUUACUAUUAGCUAGUAAGGCAAAGGGUGCAGCUGUGAAACUCGCUGACUUUGGUCUAGCCAUUGAAGUACAAGGCGAUCAUCAGGCAUGGUUUGGAUUUGCGGGUACUCCGGGUUAUCUAUCACCUGAAGUUUUGAAAAAGGAGCCUUACGGCAAAUCGGUAGAUAUAUGGGCAUGUGGAGUCAUUCUUUACAUUUUGCUUGUGGGCUAUCCACCAUUCUGGGAUGAGGAUCAACAUCGAUUGUACUCACAAAUUAAGGCUGGAGCCUAUGAUUAUCCAUCACCAGAGUGGGAUACUGUAACACCAGAAGCUAAAAAUUUAAUCAAUCAAAUGCUUACUGUUAAUCCAAAUAAGAGAAUUACUGCAGCUGAAGCCUUGAAACAUCCGUGGAUAUGUCAAAGGGAACGCGUGGCUUCAGUAGUCCAUCGCCAAGAAACAGUUGAUUGUCUCAAAAAAUUCAACGCGCGUCGUAAACUUAAGGGCGCUAUACUAACAACAAUGUUGGCCACUAGGAAUUUUUCAAGUAUGUUCAUGCCUUCAUAUAUAAAACAUUAUUUUCUGUUUUUCAUCAAAAAAUUUAUUUCACAUAAAGGUAGAAGCAUGAUAACCAAGAAAGGGGAUGGAUCACAAGUGAAGGAAUCAACUGAUUCAUCUAGCACAACUCUUGAAGACGACGACGUUAAAGAAGAUAAAAAAGGAAUUGUUGAUCGCAGUACUACAGUCAUAUCAAAAGAUCCAGAAGAAAUAAGGAUUGUGUGUCCUGCAAAAGCUUGCCAGCAAAUCUCAGGAAACUCACAGUGCUCUUCAGCAGCCAGACGACAGGAAAUUAUCAAAAUCACAGAACAAUUGAUUGAGGCAAUCAACAGCGGUGACUUCGAUGGAUAUACUAAAAUAUGUGAUCCACAUCUAACGGCUUUCGAACCAGAGGCAUUAGGCAAUUUAGUCGAAGGAAUUGAUUUCCACAAAUUUUAUUUUGAAAAUGUUCUUGGUAAAAAUUGCAAGGCAAUAAACACUACAAUACUAAAUCCCCAUGUACAUUUGCUAGGAGAGGAAGCGGCUUGCAUUGCCUAUGUAAGGCUUACUCAAUAUAUUGACAAGCAAGGACAUGCACACACUCAUCAGUCGGAAGAGACACGCGUUUGGCAUCGACGAGAUAACAAAUGGCAAAAUGUCCACUUUCAUCGAAGUGCCUCAGGGAAGAUUAGUGGGGCAACGACUUUCGAUUUUUUACCACAGAAAUAGAUUCGUGGCCUAAAUGGAUUAUACGUUGAAAUUCAUUCGACACAAUGAUGAUGUUAGGAACUCUACACUACUUAAAAAUUGUACUGACAAAGGAUCGUCGUAGUGCACAGCUAUCAGCGUUUUGGAGUUAGUCCCUAAUAACACAAAAUAUAAAAAUAAAUACAUAUAUUGGAGGGGCGAACAUUUGCAUAUAGGAUAAUCAAACGAGUUAAAACAAGGAAACAACACACAGACACACACAAUAAUACAUUCAUUAAUGAUUCUACAUAUUAUGAAUGACAUUUUGCUGACAUUAACUGGCGGCACCAACCUUAGUUAUUUAAGCGUAAUUAAAACAAACGCAAACGCAUUUUCAGAUUUAACUUUGCAACUAAAUUACUAUAUGAAGAAGCAAAAAUGAAAAAUAAAACAAAACAAAACAUGAUAA